UGCUAGAGAGGAGAUCAAAGUUAUGAAGCAGUGGAGAGAGGCUGGAAACGAUGUUGAACUGAUGGAGAGUUAGAAAUUUUCUAAAGUGGCGAGCAUCUGAAGAAGGGUCAUCCAAUUGAGUAAAGGUAUGUAAUUAUAAUUUGCUUAUAGAAUAGUUGGAUUAUGUGCCGUAUGAAAUGUUUUCUUCAUUUGUUGAUGUUGUUAUUUGGUUAUAGGUUGAUUACUGCAUAUGUUGUUUAACUCAAUGAGAAAUCAAAAUAAACAACUUUUAAAGGGAUAAAAUUGGGAUAAAUAUAAGAAGAAAAUAACCAAUACUAAACAAAUAUAUCCCAGUAGCAUAAUGUUUCAAUGGUGAUCGAAAUGAACAUCAUUAUUAGUAGAUAUGAUUGGAAAGCUAGACAUUAAUACCUUAAAAAAAUUCUAGACAUUGGUGAAGAUUUCACGAUACACAACAUUUUUGGUUGAAGUGCAAACUUUUUGUUCAUCAUCCAAAAUCAACAACUUGAGUCCAUUUCUCCACCUGACUCUAGACAUCGCAACAUACAACUGACCGUGAGUGAAUACCAGUCGAGGUAGGUAAAUUCCGACAUGGGAGAGCGACUGUCCUCGACUUUUAUUAAUUGUCAUAGCA
This 631-nucleotide long non-coding RNA is filed under the name Trifolium pratense (red clover). RNAcentral describes it as "long non-coding RNA (TPRA_LNC008955)". The record is from RNAcentral. Lineage: Eukaryota; Viridiplantae; Streptophyta; Magnoliopsida; Fabales; Fabaceae.